This 492-nucleotide ribosomal RNA is filed under the name uncultured bacterium. RNAcentral's name for it is "partial 16S ribosomal RNA". It matches the Rfam family "Bacterial small subunit ribosomal RNA", at positions 29 to 507 of the family's 1533-position model. The record is from RNAcentral.
AGUGAACGCUGGCGGUAGGCCUAACACAUGCAAGUCGAACGGCAGCACAGUAAGAGCUUGCUCUUACGGGUGGCGAGUGGCGGACGGGUGAGGAAUACAUCGGAUUCUACUUUUUCGUGGGGGAUAACGUAGGGAAACUUACGCUAAUACCGCAUACGACCUACGGGUGAAAGCAGGGGAUCUUCGGACCUUGCGCGAUUGAAUGAGCCGAUGUCGGAUUAGCUAGUUGGCGGGGUAAAGGCCCACCAAGGCGACGAUCCGUAGCUGGUCUGAGAGGAUGAUCAGCCACACUGGAACUGAGACACGGUGCAGACUCCUACGGGAGGCAGCAGUGGGGAAUAUUGGACAAUGGGCGCAAGCCUGAUCCAGCCAUACCGCGUGGGUGAAGAAGGCCUUCGGGUUGUAAAGCCCUUUUGUUGGGAAAGAAAAGCAGCAGGUUAAUACCCCGCUGUUCUGACGGUACCCAAAGAAUAAGCACCGGCUAACCUCGUG